Molecule: ribosomal RNA, 332 nt
Filed under: Escherichia coli
Lineage: Bacteria; Pseudomonadati; Pseudomonadota; Gammaproteobacteria; Enterobacterales; Enterobacteriaceae
Description: partial 23S ribosomal RNA
Rfam family: Bacterial large subunit ribosomal RNA
Source: RNAcentral
ACGCGAGCUGGGUUUAGAACGUCGUGAGACAGUUCGGUCCCUAUCUGCCGUGGGCGCUGGAGAACUGAGGGGGGCUGCUCCUAGUACGAGAGGACCGGAGUGGACGCAUCACUGGUGUUCGGGUUGUCAUGCCAAUGGCACUGCCCGGUAGCUAAAUGCGGAAGAGAUAAGUGCUGAAAGCAUCUAAGCACGAAACUUGCCCCGAGAUGAGUUCUCCCUGACCCUUUAAGGUCCUGAAGGAACGUUGAAGACGACGACGUUGAUAGGCCGGGUGUGUAAGCGCAGCGAUGCGUUGAGCUAACCGGUACUAAUGAACCGUGAGGCUUAACCUU